GACGAACGCUGGCGGCGUGCCUAAUACAUGCAAGUAGAACGCUGAAGGAGGAGCUUGCUUCUCCGGAUGAGUUGCGAACGGGUGAGUAACGCGUAGGUAACCUGCCUGGUAGCGGGGGAUAACUAUUGGAAACGAUAGCUAAUACCGCAUAAGAGUAGAUGUUGCAUGACAUUUGCUUAAAAGGUGCAAUUGCAUCACUACCAGAUGGACCUGCGUUGUAUUAGCUAGUUGGUGAGGUAACGGCUCACCAAGGCGACGAUACAUAGCCGACCUGAGAGGGUGAUCGGCCACACUGGGACUGAGACACGGCCCAGGCUCCUACGGGAGGCAGCAGUAGGGAAUCUUCGGCAAUGGACGGAAGUCUGACCGAGCAACGCCGCGUGAGUGAAGAAGGUUUUCGGAUCGUAAAGCUCUGUUGUAAGAGAAGAACGAGUGUGAGAGUGGAAAGUUCACACUGUGACGGUAUCUUACCAGAAAGGGACGGCUAACUACGUG
Molecule: ribosomal RNA, 495 nt
Filed under: uncultured bacterium
Lineage: Bacteria
Description: partial 16S ribosomal RNA
Rfam family: Bacterial small subunit ribosomal RNA
Source: RNAcentral